This 406-nucleotide ribosomal RNA is filed under the name uncultured bacterium. RNAcentral's name for it is "partial 16S ribosomal RNA". It matches the Rfam family "Bacterial small subunit ribosomal RNA", at positions 30 to 526 of the family's 1533-position model. The record is from RNAcentral.
AUUGAACGCUGGCGGCAGGCUUAACACAUGCAAGUCGAACGAGUGGCGGACGGGUGAGUAAUGCCUGGGAAACUGCCUGAUGGAGGGGGAUAACUACUGGAAACGGUAGCUAAUACCGCGUACCAUCAGAUGAGCCCAGAUGGGAUUAGGUAGUUGGUGGGGUAACGGCUCACCAAGGCGACGAUCCCUAGCUGGUCUGAGAGGAUGACCAGCCAUACUGGAACUGAGACACGGUCCAGACUCCUACGGGAGGCAGCAGUGGUGAAUAUUGCGCAAUGGGAGCAAGCCUGAUGCGGCCAUGCCGCGUGUAUGAAGAAGGCCUUCGGGUUGUAAAGUCCUUUCAGUGGGGAGGCGUUACCCGCAGAAGAAGCACCGGCUAACUCCGUGCCAGCAGCCGCGGUAAUAC